Culex pipiens pallens (northern house mosquito) is the source of this 978-nucleotide long non-coding RNA. RefSeq lists it as uncharacterized. The transcript has 4 exons. Lineage: Eukaryota; Metazoa; Arthropoda; Insecta; Diptera; Culicidae. The record is from RefSeq and is a predicted model, not a curated record.
GCGCAAAGUCUGCAAAGAAUAACGCUCUUCGAUGUAAAGAGCAACCCGCCGAAUGUCGGGCCGGCACCAGCUCUCGCAUCGUUCGCGCAGCUACUGUCAACAAACGUCAGCGGUGAUGAUUCGUAAAAUUGAAGAGAAUUUGAUCGGUGCGAUUUAUUUGGAAAAUUAAUAUGUACUAAUUACUAAGUUAAUUUGUAGGUGUUACUCUGCAUGAAAUCUCGCUGCUAGGAUUAACGCCGUACCGCUGGUGUAAAACUUGUUCUAACUAGGAAAUUGAACGAGUUCUAACUAGGGCGGCUGCGACCUGGUUGGAUUUCGCACACAAACGGCAUUGUUUACCUGUUGAAGGACAAACACGAUAGGGUGACCAAUCUUUUAGCGAUUCCACAUUAAUCAACGGUGUGCUGCUCAAAAGAACCCGAAAACGUCCCAACAAUGAGAAUUACUAAUUACGUAGAAUUUAGUUUUACAUCAUGACUCUUUAAAUGAUAUUCAAUCGUUUACAUCAGAUUUCAACAUUACAUCAAGCUAGUUUACGUUUAAAACACGGUUUACGUGUCGAGUAAAUUUACACUUUUUUUUCUGUGUAUAGUGCGUCCAUCCCGGGAAUUCCCGGGACAAAAUUCCCGGGAUUUUUCCAAAACCGGGAAUUCCCGAAUCCCGGGAUUUUUAUAUUUUAUCCCGGGAAUCCCCGAAAUCGGUAAAAAAUAUCAAAUUUUGGUCAGAUUUUGUUGUGGAAAUAGAUGAACAACGAUUAAAAAAUAAAAAUAAAAUAUUAAGCAUAUAUCAGCAUUAAUUUUACUUAUAGAGAAUAAUUGUUAGAUCCGUAAAUUGCCUAGCGCUUGAAAUAUUUUCUCUUCACUUUUAUAUUCAUGAAUUUAAAUUGAAAAAAAGUAAUUUUAAAUAUUUUUUUAUGAAACAUCUUUGGCAACAAAGACGAAUGUAUCGAAUCAGAACAGCUGUUUUUGUUUAUUUUUU